GAUGAACGCUAGCGGCAGGCCUAACACAUGCAAGUCGAGGGGCAGCACAUAAAGUGGUUUACUACUUUUGGUGGCGACCGGCGGACGGGUGCGUAACGCGUAUGCAACCUGCCUCCAACAGGGGGAUAACGGAGAGAAAUUUCCACUAAUACCCCAUAAUAUCAGAAUCGGCAUCGGUUUUGGUUGAAAACUCCGGUGGUUGGAGAUGGGCAUGCGUUGUAUUAGAUAGUUGGUGAGGUAACGGCUCACCAGGUCAACGAUACAUAGGGGUACUGAGAGGUUAGCCCCACACACUGGUACUGAGACACGGACCAGACUCCUACGGGAGGCAGCAGUGAGGAAUAUUGGUCAAUGGGGGCAACCCUGAACCAGCCAUGCCGCGUGCAGGAAGACGGCUCUAUGAGUUGUAAACUGCUUUUACAAGGGGAUAAAUCGGUGUACGUGUACACCGUUGAAGGUACCUUGGGAAUAAGGAUCGGCUAACUCCGUGCCAGCAGCCGCCGUAA
Molecule: ribosomal RNA, 506 nt
Filed under: uncultured bacterium
Lineage: Bacteria
Description: partial 16S ribosomal RNA
Rfam family: Bacterial small subunit ribosomal RNA
Source: RNAcentral